AUCUUCAAAUUAAAGGGUUAUCUCUGUAGUGUAUAAUUCAUAUGCUGGAAAUAACCUGUCAAUUUGAAGAUUUUUUAUGCAAUUUUUUAUCAACUAAUUGCUCAUUAUGCAAUUAUAGACCGUCUAAAGCUCUCUAAGUAAUUUUUUUUUUGAUCAUUUUUUAUCAAGUUGACUGUUUAUUUUUUCUAAAACCGUAAAAUCAAUGUGUAAAUAUCUAAACAUUGUGAAAUUAUUAAUAUUUGUAUAAUUUACAUGUGCUCCUUAUAUUAGAUUUAUUCUAAUUUUGUUUUUUCUUUCAGAUUUUGAAUAUGUCANUUUAUGCAAUUAUAGAUCGUCUACAGCUCUCUAAGUAAUUUAUUUUUUGAUAAUUUUUUAUCAAGUUGACUGUUUAUUUUUUCUAAAACCGUAAAAUCAAUGUGUAAAUUUCUAAACAUUGUGAAAUUAUUAAUAUUUGUAUAAUUUACAUGUGCUCCUUAUAUUAGAUUUAUUCUAAUUUUGUUUUUUCUUUCAGAUUUUGAAUAUGUCAAUUCAUUAAAAGUGUACGAACCUAAACAAAUUGUGAUCUACAAGCAGUUCAAUGAAACUACUUCGCAUCANCAGCUCUCUAAGUAAUUUAUUUUUUGAUAAUUUUUUAUCAAGUUGACUGUUUAUUUUUUCUAAACCCGUAAAAUCAUUAAUAUUUGUAUAAUUUACAUGUGCUCUUUAUAUUAGAUUUAUCCUAAUUUUGUUUUUUCUUACAGAUUUUGAAUAUGUCAAUUCAUUAAAAGUGUACGAACCUAAACAAAUUGUGAUCUACAAGCAGUUCAAUGAAAACUACUUCGCAUCAAGUAAACAUAGAGCAUUUUAAAUCAUCUCGUAUUGGAAUUUUCAUCAUGUUCAAUUUUCGGAAUUCUAUUUCAUUUUGUUGAGUAUAUAUUUAACUUUUUCUUUAUAAUAGACUUUAUCAUUUUAGAUCAAUAAUAGCAUAUAAUAAUUUACUUGUUUAAAUUGAACGAAUUGAAAAAUAUGCGUUGUUUUAGCAUUUUAAUAUCAGGGUUCACAUACAUUUAAUGAUAAGCUAUCAAUAUGUCUGUUUAUUGUAUUUUAAUAAAUUAAGUAUCGAAUUAUAGUUAGAUAUAGUGUUUGGAAUUUGUAUAAUCGACCCUUUUGUUGUAUUUAGGACUAUGAUAUUUGAACAUUAUAGAAUGAAAGAUGUUAGAAUUGAAGUGUUAUAUCGAGCCAGUAUAUUUCAUAAGGCUCGUUA
Cinara cedri is the source of this 1243-nucleotide non-coding RNA. Lineage: Eukaryota; Metazoa; Arthropoda; Insecta; Hemiptera; Aphididae. The record is from the annotation of a GenBank genome assembly.